GCAUAAUUAAGAAUGAUGUAUCCAUUGGAGAGCAAAAAAGAAACAAAAAGGAUGGCAAGAAAAUCAACUCAAGCCAGUUAUAUUAAAGAGAACAAUAUUUAAGAAAAAGUUAUCAAAAGUAAAGAUUGACAAGUGAAAGGAGAAAAGGCAUAGGAAAUGUGGAAAUGGAAAUUUGCCUAGGUGAAAUAAAACAAGGAGGAAAAAAAUUAGGCACAGAAUAAUCAC
RNAcentral lists this long non-coding RNA (225 nucleotides) under Gorilla gorilla gorilla (western lowland gorilla). RNAcentral's name for it is "lncRNA (ENSGGOG00000044684.1)". The record is from RNAcentral. Lineage: Eukaryota; Metazoa; Chordata; Mammalia; Primates; Hominidae.